This 1238-nucleotide long non-coding RNA is filed under the name Homo sapiens (human). RNAcentral describes it as "HSALNT0365475". Lineage: Eukaryota; Metazoa; Chordata; Mammalia; Primates; Hominidae. The record is from RNAcentral.
GCACUCACCGCAGCGUUCUGGAACUUUCAAGCUCGCCCCCGCUCUCCGGACGGCCCCGGGGAAAGGGAGGGUGGGGCGCAGCGAGUCCGCGCGCGGGAGUCCUCAGUUACCCCGGGCGGGGGAGGGGAGCGUCCACCUCUACGCAUGCGCCCCCAGCUUCCGCGGGAGGGAGGGGGCGGAAAAAGGAGGAGGAAGAGGGGCGGGCAAACUUGGAACUAACCAAUGAUAGCGGCGCUAGCCGGGAUCUUGGCCGGCACAGAACUGGGGGCGGAAUCGCGCGGGGCCUGAAGGGAGGGGUUUGGGCGCGGGAGCCGGGCAGGAGAAGACGGAAGUGGAGCGAGGACAAAAUGGCUGCGAAGUAACAUGAGGUGAUAUCUUUCCUGGUUUGACUUUCAUCAAAAAUUAAACGACAGACCAUACCGACGCUUUGAAAACGUGACUGAGCUGGUGCACAAAACAAUGGUGCCUAGAAUUUUGAAUUGUGCAAUGUUGUGCAUGGCCGCGGAUAUGUGGGGCCUUGUGGUUCCAAGAGCCUGUCUCAGGUCCUGGUCAACAAAUAGAUUUGGACUCCUGCUUUCCCUUACUCUGGUCUAAAGGCACAAUAAGAUGCCUUUUUACAGAUGAAUCAGCUUACAUCCUUUUGCUUGUUUGGUAUUGUAUAAGGAAAAUGCUCAUCUGAAUCUGUUCCGUGCAAUGCUCACUGCUACUUAGAUGACCUCUCAUCUGGUUGUGUGGCUGGUGACUUGAGCUCCAAUGACGAGAAGAGUCCAAAGACCCUGACUCCUAGGAAAGCGUGGGAGUCAAGUCCAUUGUAAUUCAGACCGUUUGGAAGGCUCUGCUCUGGCUGGGGAUCAUGCUGGGUGUGGUUUCUGCUUUGGUCAGAUUAGCAUGGUGGACUUUCUUUGGUUCAGAACCUCUCACCUCUGGCCCCACUAGGCUGUAUGCCUGGGUGGCCAGCCCUGGCUGGGGUGCUGCGUCAGUUGACAGUGUCCGCUGGCUGCGUGAGGCACUAUUUGCUGUGGAGCGAGUGGAGGAAGAACCAGAGCGUGAGCUCCGAGAGCCUGAGGAAGAGGAGCUGGGUUUCACAAGACGGGCUUUUGGAGCUUCAGCAUCUUCUCUGAAGAGAAAAAACAGCAAAGAUUAACACUGGCAGAUCUGUGAUUGCUUCCAGUAUGAUUGCUUCCUUCUGAGGUUUCCGAAGCUGUGAACCUCAGAUAAUACCAUCGGAAGGCAACCAU